AGGGACCAUGGCCCAGUGGUAGAACAUCUGCUUGGCAUGCAGAAAGUCCCUGGUUCAAUCCCUGCUGUCUCUA
RNAcentral lists this transfer RNA (73 nucleotides) under Sphaerodactylus townsendi. RNAcentral's name for it is "tRNA-Ala". It matches the Rfam family "tRNA". Rfam says of the family: Transfer RNA (tRNA) molecules are approximately 80 nucleotides in length. Their secondary structure includes four short double-helical elements and three loops (D, anti-codon, and T loops). Lineage: Eukaryota; Metazoa; Chordata; Lepidosauria; Squamata; Sphaerodactylidae. The record is from RNAcentral.